Molecule: ribosomal RNA, 253 nt
Filed under: uncultured bacterium
Lineage: Bacteria
Description: partial 16S ribosomal RNA
Rfam family: Bacterial small subunit ribosomal RNA
Source: RNAcentral
UACGUAGGGUCCGAGCGUUGUCCGGAAUUAUUGGGCGUAAAGGGCUCGUAGGCGGUUUGUCACGUCGGGAGUGAAAACUCAGGGCUCAACCCUGAGCGUGCUUCCGAUACGGGCAGACCAGAGGUAUGCAGGGGAGAACGGAAUUCCUGGUGUAGCGGUGGAAUGCGCAGAUAUCAGGAGGAACACCGGUGGCGAAGGCGGUUCUCUGGGCAUUACCUGACGCUGAGGAGCGAAAGCAUGGGGAGCGAACAGG